UACGUAGGUGGCAAGCGUUGUCCGGAUUUACUGGGCGUAAAGAGCGCGCAGGCGGUCGUUCAAGUCGCGUGUGAAAGCCCCCCGGCUCAACUGGGGAGGGUCAUUCGAUACUGAUCGACUCGAAGGCAGGAGAGGGUAGUGGAAUUCCCGGUGUAGUGGUGAAAAUGCGUAGAUAUCGGGAGGAACACCAGUGGCGAAGGCGACUACCUGGCCUGUUCUUGACGCUGAGGCGCGAAAGCUAGGGGAGCAAACGGGG
Molecule: ribosomal RNA, 256 nt
Filed under: uncultured bacterium
Lineage: Bacteria
Description: partial 16S ribosomal RNA
Rfam family: Bacterial small subunit ribosomal RNA
Source: RNAcentral